Molecule: long non-coding RNA, 774 nt
Organism: Rosa rugosa (rugosa rose)
Lineage: Eukaryota; Viridiplantae; Streptophyta; Magnoliopsida; Rosales; Rosaceae
Exons: 3
Source: RefSeq, a predicted model, not a curated record
CAAAAAUUGUUCACAGACUAGUUCAUGAAUCUAUCCACUGAGCCCAGCGCCAGCGCCCUCUCUCAAAAAUCUCUACCUUCUCUGUCUCUCUUGCAACCUCGGUUUUAUGGUUAAGGAGGGGAAUACAAGCAGCGAGGACAAGAACACUAAUGUUUUUGGUUGGACGACAACUGCAAGGGAAGUAAUGGCACAAUUUGUUCUCCCACCUGUGAUCCAGUCCCCAAGAAAUUGAAAAUCGAUUGGUCUCAAUGGUUGGCGGCAUUAUGUGGGUGUUUCAUGAAAGGCACAAAUGCUCUAUUGGUUUCAAUUAUCAAAGGCCUCAUGAGAUCAAUCCUUUGAAUAGUUGGAAUUUGCCUCUCAUCUUCGUUCUCAACCUCACCAUCUUCAACCGCAUCACAAGAGUACAUUGAAGACCCCUCAGAAUCAUUCAAGCUCCAUCUUCUUCCUCAGGCAGUUACAUUGAGGAGAUUCAAAGCUGCAUCCCAGCCAUUUGGUUAGUGUGUGUAGCCUCAAGACAGAGCACGACUGCUCUGUUUGCCUGACUGAGUGCCAACCAGAAUUUGAGAUAAACCACUCGACUUGUGGCAUGUUUUCCUAAUGAUUGCUUGGAGAAGUGGUUGAACUACUGGAACAUUACAUUCCCUCUUUGUAGGACUCCUUUAAUGCCUGUGGAAGGGACCUGUUUUUGGUGAACAACUUACAAGCAUGUAAGUUAAUCGGACUUCAUGUGGUAGGUAGUAUUUAGUGUACAGGUGGUUUUUUACAAGAAUGCAU